AUCUAUGUAGUUUAAAAAAAAACACUAUAUUUUCAAUAUAGAAAUAACUUCAUUAGCUCCUAGAUG
RNAcentral lists this transfer RNA (66 nucleotides) under Cucujoidea sp. 37 KM-2017. RNAcentral's name for it is "tRNA-Glu". Lineage: Eukaryota; Metazoa; Arthropoda; Insecta; Coleoptera. The record is from RNAcentral.